GACGAACGCUGGCGGCGUGCUUAACACAUGCAAGUCGAACGGAAAGGCCCUGCCUUUGUGGGGUGCUCGAGUGGCGAACGGGUGAGUAACACGUGAGUAACCUGCCCUUGACUUUGGGAUAACUUCAGGAAACUGGGGCUAAUACCGGAUAGGAGCUCCUGCUGCAUGGUGGGGGUUGGAAAGGUUCGGUGGCUGGGGUUGGAGUCGCGGCUUAUCAGCUUGUUGGUGGGGGAGCGGCUUACCAAGGCUUUGACGGGGAGCCGGCCUGAGAGGGUGACCGGCCACAUUGGGACUGGGGUACGACCCAGACUCCUACGGGAGGCAGCAGUGGAGAAUAUUGCACGAUGGGCGGAAGCCUGAUGCAGCAACGCCGCGUGCGGGAUGACGGCCUUCGGGUUGUAACCCGCUUUCGCCUGUGACGAAGCGUGAGUGACGGUAAUGGGUAAAGAAGCACCGGCUAACUACGUG
This 468-nucleotide ribosomal RNA is filed under the name uncultured bacterium. RNAcentral's name for it is "partial 16S ribosomal RNA". It matches the Rfam family "Bacterial small subunit ribosomal RNA", at positions 28 to 507 of the family's 1533-position model. The record is from RNAcentral.